UACGUAGGGUGCAAGCGUUAAUCGGAAUUACUGGGCGUAAAGCGUGCGCAGGCGGCUAUGCAAGACAGAUGUGAAAUCCCCGGGCUCAACCUGGGAACUGCAUUUGUGACUGCAUAGCUAGAGUACGGUAGAGGGGGGAUGGAAUUCCGCGUGUAGCAGUGAAAUGCGUAGAUAUGCGGAGGAACACCGAUGGCGAAGGCAAUCCCCUGGACCUGUACUGACGCUCAUGCA
Molecule: ribosomal RNA, 231 nt
Filed under: uncultured bacterium
Lineage: Bacteria
Description: partial 16S ribosomal RNA
Rfam family: Bacterial small subunit ribosomal RNA
Source: RNAcentral